GAUAGGUCGCUGUCGCUAGCGUGAUUGGACACUGACGCAGAGUCAACUAGCCUUGAUUCCGCGGUUCUUCGCGCGUGGAACCGGGACGGUCCGAGCCAUGAGGGGGGAGGCUCGGACCGUCCGUC
This 125-nucleotide non-coding RNA is filed under the name Streptomyces agglomeratus. RNAcentral's name for it is "Streptomyces RNA 3920". It matches the Rfam family "Streptomyces RNA 3920". From Rfam's summary of the family: Identified by deep sequencing of transcriptome at the end of exponential growth phase. Sequencing size consistent with northern blot size. Lineage: Bacteria; Bacillati; Actinomycetota; Actinomycetes; Kitasatosporales; Streptomycetaceae. The record is from Rfam by way of RNAcentral.